This 253-nucleotide ribosomal RNA is filed under the name uncultured bacterium. RNAcentral's name for it is "partial 16S ribosomal RNA". It matches the Rfam family "Bacterial small subunit ribosomal RNA", at positions 524 to 776 of the family's 1533-position model. The record is from RNAcentral.
UACGUAGGGGGCUAGCGUUGUCCGGAAUCAUUGGGCGUACAGCGCGUGUAGGCGGUUCGGUAAGUCCGCUGUGAAAGUCGGGGGCUCAACCCUCGGAUGCCGGUGGAUACUGUCGGGCUUGAGUACGGAAGAGGCGAGUGGAAUUCCUGGUGUAGCGGUGAAAUGCGCAGAUAUCAGGAGGAACACCAAUUGCGAAGGCAGCUCGCUGGGACGUUACUGACGCUGAGACGCGAAAGCGUGGGGAGCAAACAGG